AUUUAGAGGAAGUAAAAGUCGUAACAAGGUUUCCGUAGGUGAACCUGCGGAAGGAUCAUUACUGAUUUGGCGAACCGAGCGUUAGCUUGGUUCUGCGAUCACUUUGUAUUUAAAACCCACACUUUUUUAAUGUAUAUAAUUUUUUAAAAUAUAAAAUUAAGAUCACUUUCAACAACGGAUCUCUUGGCUCUCGCAUCGAUGAAGAACGUAGCGAAGUGCGAUAAGUAAUGUGAAUUGCAGAAUUCCGUGAAUCAUCGAAUCUUUGAACGCAUAUUGCGCUCUCUGGUUUUCCAGGAGUAUGCCUGUUUGAGGGUCAGUUAAAUAAAAAUCGAGGUUGUUGCUGCCUUUUGUGGUGACGCUUCGGAAUUGGGUCGUCUUUGCCUUUGGUUAAGUGACCUAAAAUUUAAUAUGAUUUUCGAACGUAUUUAAAUCAUUUUACGUACGUUUGUGAUAAUCGAAUAUUAGGUGUGAUCAUUCUCAUGAUUUGCGCCCAUAAUUUUUCAUCAAUUGACCUCAAAUCAGGUAAGAGUACCCGCUGAACUUAAGCAUAUCAAUA
Molecule: ribosomal RNA, 556 nt
Filed under: uncultured Glomus
Lineage: Eukaryota; Fungi; Glomeromycota; Glomeromycetes; Glomerales; Glomeraceae
Description: eukaryotic LSU rRNA
Rfam family: 5.8S ribosomal RNA (bases 164-316)
Source: RNAcentral